GAGAGAGAGAGAGAGAGAGAGCAUUUUCCAACCUUGUUAUGGGCGGAUUAUUCAUAUGCUGAUUCAUCAAUUCACUUGGCUGUAUGUAAUUUGUUCAAACAUAAAAGUACAAUAAAAUAUUUAGAUUCCUUAUAUAGCAAACAAGAAAAUGGCAUCCUAUUUCAAGAAUUAUACUUUGUUUACUUUUCCAGAGUGAACCAAAUGUGAUCAAUGUUAUCAUGCACAUGCAUAUACCUCUCAGCCCCCUCUGUAAUGUAGCAGCUUAUAAUGGCAGGCAUAAAAGCUUUUGGAUAUCUUAGAAAAUACCUUAUUGAUGGUGAGCGAGCCCAUUCAUGGCCUGGAUAAUCCCAUUAAUUGUAGAUGAAGGUGGAGUCCGGCUAUUUAAAC
RNAcentral lists this unclassified non-coding RNA (387 nucleotides) under Hevea brasiliensis (rubber tree). Lineage: Eukaryota; Viridiplantae; Streptophyta; Magnoliopsida; Malpighiales; Euphorbiaceae. The record is from RNAcentral.